This is a long non-coding RNA of Hippoglossus stenolepis (Pacific halibut), 680 nucleotides long. RefSeq lists it as uncharacterized. NCBI's taxonomy places the organism in Eukaryota, Metazoa, Chordata, Actinopteri, Pleuronectiformes, Pleuronectidae. The record is from RefSeq and is a predicted model, not a curated record. The transcript has 3 exons.
UCUUCCGAGUGUUUAUUCCCAGUGUGUAUUUGACCUAACUCUCUUUAUUGACCCUGCCUCUGCCUGUGUGUUCUUGGAAACCUUUGCCGGAUCUCUGCCUCCCUGUUCACCAAACCUGCUCGUCGCCGGCUGCCUGCGACGUGUCGUUGGUGGACAUUACGGCAGGAUCAAUGUCAGAGCCUGAACCCCAGUCAACAUCCCCGCUUUGGCAGAGUGUCUGGGUUGCCAUGGACACCCAGGCCAAGAUUAAGGGCCACAUCCAACAGCUCCACAUGGUGACCUGGAAGAAUGAGGAAGGGGAUCUGAAAGGCCGUAGGUCCCCGGGGCAGUGGAAGGGCACAAGUGGUCUGGACUGGGUUGUGUUUCAUAACAGAUGCCACCCUGGAAAAAACCCCUACAAAAACACAGACCUACAUCCAGACCUCAUUAUAUAAGUCAACCAGCAGGAAAUGAGACAGCCCGAGGAUAUUGUGAACACUGAUCAAUCAGAAUGACACUGAUUUGGACCAAUGGAAAUGCAUAGUAAAGGUUCAGUGUUUUUUAACAUCCCGGUUCUCUGAGCUUAAGUUAAAUCUAAUUAAACUCAUCUCCAGACAAAUACGAGAUAGAUGUUCCGAGGGCGAACCAGAAUUUAAUCAGACAAACAUAAUUAUCCUGUUUAGAUGUUUCCUGGAGACCAU